Long non-coding RNA from Mauremys reevesii (Reeves's turtle), 601 nucleotides. RefSeq lists it as uncharacterized. The record is from RefSeq and is a predicted model, not a curated record. The transcript is spliced from 3 exons. NCBI's taxonomy places the organism in Eukaryota, Metazoa, Chordata, Testudines, Geoemydidae.
UACUUCCUGGGAAGAGGAAGGUUGGUUCUUUCUUAGAGCUGGCACACCCAGAGAGAGAAGGGGACUCAGAGUUGUAGGAAGCAGUCCAGUGAAGGAGCAGGGAGCGCAGAGAGAGGAAGCCCAGAACUGUGGAGCAGAGGGUUGGCUCAUGUUCCCCUAUGAGCCACUGAGGGCAUUGCACAGAGCUCAGGCAGCAAAUGGGAAGACUGCUGAUGGACUGUACCCUGGAAAGUGAGUGACCUGGCCAGAGGCAGUGGAGCUGCAGAUCAGAGUGACAGUGUGCAAACUGUGGUUGGGGUGUUGGCUUUGAGAGCUAAUCCCUAGAGUGACCAGGAGGAGGUGCCAGAUCAGUGAAAUGUCUACUAUUUCUAGUUUCAUUUUACAUGGACUUUGGCCUCCAACUAGUCAUGGAUGGGAAGACAAGAAGGAAAAAACAAGGGAUUAUUGCAAGGAGAUUGGAACACAGCAGAACUCUGUGCAGCCAUCGAUGCAGAACAGUAUCCUUGUAAGAAGCAUGCUUGAUGCCUCCACAACCAUAACAGCAUCUUUCGUUCUUAAUGAAUAAUAUGCUCCAGAUGUUCUGCCCUGUGAGAAUUUCUAG